Gasterosteus aculeatus aculeatus (three-spined stickleback) is the source of this 1276-nucleotide long non-coding RNA. The record is from Ensembl. Lineage: Eukaryota; Metazoa; Chordata; Actinopteri; Perciformes; Gasterosteidae.
CACGUGGGGGUGCUGUUCUGUCUUGUUGAUGGAGCAUUGAGCGACGAGAAGAAGACUGACGUACCGGCUUUAAAAAAAAGGCGCGGGCGCGGAUCAGAGACGGGUGACUAGUUGUUGAUGCAAUGACACCGAUGGAAGAACUUUUAAAACAUAUUAGGCGUUCAAAUACACACAAGAGCUGAAGGAAAAUUGUGAAAUGGACGCAGAAACGUGGUAUCCUGACGACGACGAUGAAGUGCGCAAAAUGCAACCGUCGCAUGCGUCUGGUGAAAUGCCAUGUCAAGGAUGGGCUGUGGUGGGUCUGUAAGCAUCAUAAAAGUUUCCCAAAGUCUGUACGUAAUGGCUCAAUAUUCACCAAGUCUCACAUCCCUCUGGCUUGAGUUCAUGCACAGAUUUGCCCAAGGUUUGCAGUUGAAGCAACUUGCACAAGGUUGUCACAUUACAUACCAGACUAGUCUCUAACUUUAAUUAGGUAUAAAACAGGUACAUAAGUCACCACUCUAAUCAAUUGGAUUCUACAUUGCUGCAGAAUUAUUUGGUACACUCAGUGACACAUGCAAUGCAACUUCCUAAACGUUAGCAUACAUAUUAGUCAAAUUCCAUACUAAGGCAUAGUUAUACCUCAAGAUGCUUAUAUUUUAUUUUCCCAUUUGAAGGUGUGCAUUGCUGCUGUCAAGCGACUGAGGAAAAGAUGAGGAUUGGUGGUCGUCAUCGAUUUGUUGUUAUUGACAAGAGCAAAUUUGCCCACAAACGAAAGGUGGGCUGUAUAUUUGUAUGAAUCUGCACUAUAUUUAGAUCAAGAUUUCAUGAUGAGUAAUAUUUUAUGGGUAAAAUAAAAUGGGUUUUAUGGGUACCCUGGGUACACACACGAUACAGGUGUGACGGGGUGCCUCCUCUUUUCCGCUUCCCUUCUUGGUCUUAAUGCGUACAGGAAAACACACACUUGACAAACUCGGGCUGUUGAUCUGGUUUUAGUGUCAGUGAAGCUUGAAAACCUUUCAAGGUUCCUAAAUUUUCUCUGAACAUGUUUUCGUGGCGAUUUAGAAGGUUCUUCAGAGUCUCCUUGUCCUUGUGCAAUAUUUCCACCGUCUUGAUUUCACGCCAGUCCGGCCUUAUGUUCCGUAGCCAUUCACGACCAGACAGUGGUGGUGUUUCCCUUUCACCACAUAUAAGGGCAAUCAAAUUUCUGUUUAUUCAAUUUCACCGAUACUUUCAACAUUCCCUCGGGAAGCAGCAACUCUCCUGUGUGUGUUUUCAACACUACAUCAGUCUGGCG